GAUGAAGAACGUAGCGAAACGCGAUAUGUAAUGUGAAUUGCAGAAUUCAGUGAAUCAUCGAAUCUUUGAACGCACAUGGCGCCUUCCAGUAUCCUGGGAGGCAUGCCUGUCCGAGCGUCGUUUCAACCCUCGAGCCCCCGUGGCCCGGCGUUGGGGAUCUGCCACGGCAGGCCCCUAAAACCAGUGGCGGACCCGAAGGCCCUCUCCUUUGCGCAGUAGCAUCAGCCUCGCAUUGGGAUCCCUCGGCGUCCUGCCUCUAAACCCCCACAAGUCCGCUCCGGCGGCACCAAGGUUGACCUCGGAUCAGGUAGGAAUACCCGCUGAACUUAAGCAUAUCAAUAAGCGGAGGA
This 350-nucleotide unclassified non-coding RNA is filed under the name soil metagenome. RNAcentral's name for it is "partial contains 5.8S ribosomal RNA, internal transcribed spacer 2, and large subunit ribosomal RNA". The stretch from base 1 to 120 matches the Rfam family "5.8S ribosomal RNA", at positions 35 to 154 of the family's 154-position model. The record is from RNAcentral.